This is a non-coding RNA of Gymnopus androsaceus JB14, 106 nucleotides long. NCBI's taxonomy places the organism in Eukaryota, Fungi, Basidiomycota, Agaricomycetes, Agaricales, Omphalotaceae. The record is from the annotation of a GenBank genome assembly.
GGCGAGAUGGCCGAGUGGUCUAAGGCGCUAGAAUCAGGUCUGCCACAUACAUAAGUAUCCCUGCAUCUAGUCAUUCGUGGCGUGGGUUCGAAUCCCACUCUCGUCA